This 202-nucleotide long non-coding RNA is filed under the name Capsicum annuum. Its description in RNAcentral is "long non-coding RNA (CANN_LNC010109)". Lineage: Eukaryota; Viridiplantae; Streptophyta; Magnoliopsida; Solanales; Solanaceae. The record is from RNAcentral.
CCCCGUACCUUUUCCUAGCUUGAAAUCAUCUAAAAAAUGUUAGGAGCUUUCUUUGAAAGAUGAAUCCACUUUUGUACAUGUGGUAUUUUUAAGAUUUUCACUUUUUGUCAUGUCGAAAAUUCAAUAAGCUUUCCAUCGAUAUAAAAUUCGCCUAAAUUCGAUAACCAGGUAAGAAGUUAUGACUAUUUCAAGUUUCCGUCAU